UGUAUAAUGUAUUAGCUAGCUGCUAGGCUACACCACUAGUAAUAUAUGUAUAAUGUAUUAGCUAGCUGCUAGGCUACACCACUAGUAAUAUAUGUAUAAUGUAUUAGCUAGCUGCUAGGCUACACCACUAGUAAUAUAUGUAUAAUGUAUUAGCUAGCUGCUAGGCUACACCACUAGUAAUAUCUGUAUAAUGUAUUAGCUAGCUGCUAGGCUACACCACUAGUAAUAUCUGUAUAAUGUAUUAGCUAGCUGCUAGGCUACACCACUCUCUACAUCUGUGUCAGUUUGACUUUUGCCAUUUCAUAGCACCCAUUUUUAGGUGAAUUACAUGUAAUCUGAUUAUUAAAAAAAAACAAGCUAAUCAGCUACUUUACCAGCAACAAAUAUUGUAAUCAGAUUACAGAUACUAUAGAAAAACUUGAGGAUUACAUCUUGGAUUACUUUUAAAUUCAGAAAGGAUGUUUGCAAAUAAAAUUACAUUAUGACACUUUUCUGUUUUCUCAACCACAUUCAAAUCCGAGUUGAAAAAAGCCCCAAGUUUGUUUGUUCCACCUUAGCAAGUCUGACCACAAGUCAGAGACCACUGUGAAGACACACCAAAUGCAUUUUAUGGAUCUUCUUCUAAAGUCUCUUGAGGGGAAAGUAAUCCAAAAGUAACUGAAAGUAAUCCGAGUUGGGUAAUCCAAAAGUUCAGUUACUGAUUACAAUUUUGGACAGGUAACAGGUAACUGUAACGGAUUCUGCCUGCCUGACUAACUAUCAAUAUUUUUUUCCCAGCUGUUUAUCAAAACUAAAGUAAUAUCCAAGAAACUUAACUGAAACAUCAGAAUAAAAACAUUUUUACUAAUUAACUACCAAUUCAGAGCUCGUAUGAAACUUAAGGAUAAAUGUCUCGCCAAACUAACGUUAGCUAGCUAAUCCAUUCAUAGACACUGGCUAGCUUCUAGAAAUAACAUUUGCUAAUGAAACUCCGGUGAUAGUUAGCUACAUUACAUAGAAGCCAGCAAGCAGCUAACCUAAGUAAAAGUUGUUAGCCAUAUGCUAAUUAACGUUUAAAAAUAAUAUAAUGAACACCUACCUGUCUGUACACCACGUCGGAGUAAAUGGUGUGUUUGAUAUGUCUGUCUGAAUGAAGUUAAAACUUUUAACAAAAAACGUUUAACUUAAAAAAUAAUAAUAAUACAUUACAAACACUGAUUAUUAGCAAUUUAGCGACCACACUACGCAAGGACUACAAGAGGACAGUUGCUCACACCGCGGGGGAAAGUCGAGAGAAGAGCUAAGCUCUUAGCGAUAAGGGAGAUUUAUUUCAGUCUUUCCUUUCCUUGCCAAAGAGUUUGAGGUGAUGAUAAGAUAAUGAUUAUUUAUUCGGUCAAAUGAUCCACAAUAAGAUUCUAGUCUUUGAUCCCCACAGGCAACCCGCGAGAGCUCAAAAAGUUUCAAUUAUCUUGUCACGCAUGGUGACAUGAAGUGAACUUAGCUAUACAACACGAAAUAACAAAACAGCCACAAAGACCGUUUCUGUAUGAAGAGUUCCCUGUGUAAUGACAACAUCAACUGAACAAAACCCUCUGCCAGCCAAACGUGGACUGCCAUGCGAAAAGAUGACCAUCCUCAGUGAGCUGUCUGCCUGUCUCUGUCCUUGUGUUUCCUAUCUGCAGCGAUUCCCAGACGUGCUCUCUAUCUGGCUCUCACUACUCAGCAGCUGAUAAAAUCUUGGAACAGCUUCCCUUUCUCACCCCCUUUCCUUCAUCCAGAGAGGCAGGUUGGUGGGUUUGAAGGAAAUGAAAUGAGAUCAUCGCUGGAGGUUCUGGGCUGCGGGCCGCUGCUGGAGGCGCCGGACCGUCGCUGGAGGCUCCGGACUGGGGAGCGUCGCUGGAGGCUCCGGAGUGGGGAGCGUCGCUGGAGGCUCCGGACUGGGGAGCGUCGCUGGAGGCUCCGGAGUGGGGAGCGUCGCUGGAGGCUCCGGACUGGGGAGCGUCUCUGUAGGUUUGGGACUGGGGACCGUCGCUGCAGGCUCCGUGCCAUGGAUCAUCGCUACAGGUUCCGCGCCAUGGAUCAUCACUGGAGGCUUUGUGCCAUGGAGUAUCAGUGGAGGCUUCGGACCAUUGAUCAUCACUGGAGGCUUCCUACGUGGAGCUGGAACAGGUCUCACCGGACUGGGGAGACGCACAGGAGACUGGGUGCGCAGAGCAGGCACAGGGUAUACUGGGCCGUAGAGGCGCACUGGAGGUCUGGAGCUUAGGGCUGGCACACCCCGUCCUGGCUGGAUGGUUAUUUGAGCCCAGCAAGGGUGGAGCGCUGGCACCGGACGAACUGGGCUGUGCUGGUGAACGGGGGGUACCGUGCGUAGAGCAGGCGCAGGAUAACCUGGGCCGAAGAGACGCACUGGAGACCAGAUACGCUGAGCCGGCGCACUUCUUCCUGGCUGCCGGCCAACUCUAGUACGGCAACGGUGAGGAGCUUGCACCGAGCGCACCAGGCUGUGAGUGCGCCCUGGCGACACAGUGCGCAUCACCGCAUAACACUGUGCUUGCUCGGUCACUCGCUCCCCACGGUAAGCACGGGGAGUUGGCUCAGGUCUCCAACCUGACUCUGCCAAUCUCCCCGUGUGCCCCCCCAAAAAUCUUUUUUGGGGGUGCCUCUCGCACUUGCCUCUUGGUGGAUAUAGUGCCUCGUAGUAUCGCCGCUCCGCUCUUGCUGCCUCGAUCUCCUCCUUAGGACGGCGAUACUCCCCAGCCUGCCUCCAGGGUCCUUUCCCGUCCAAUAUCUCCUCCCAAGUCCAUUUGUCCUGCUGAUCCCUACCACGCUGCUUGGUCCUUUGGUGGCGGGUGAUUCGGUCACGGCUGUCUAAAGGAUCGGACCAAAAUGCAACAUGGUUAUACUUCCACAUAUUUAUUUAUUCCGUGAAACGUUGCGAUACACAAAUAACUAGACUAACAGAAAACAACAAACCGUGACGCAGAGAGAAAAUAAACACUACUCAAAAGAUAAUCACCCACAAAAACAGGUGGGACAAACAUCAGCUUAAAACCAGCUGCCUCUAAUUGGAGAUCAUACCAAACAAAACCAACAUAGAAAUACAAAACUAGAAACUGAACAUAGAAAUACAAAACAUAGACAAACACCCCCUGUCACACCCUGACCUACUCUACCAUAGAAAAUAACAACUUACUAUGGUCAGGACGUGACAAUAACAAGUGCAAACUGUAUAUUUUGUUUAUGUAUACUACACUUUUUAACAUUUACUUUUUUAGAUACAAGACAGAAUAUUUUAAUUGCAAAUCAAAUGAAUGUUAAAUAAGUAAAUAUUCAGUUGAUGGUGGAUGUUUUUCUGAAUGUGUGUUAUUGUAGGUGUAUUAUUACAUUGAAUGUUUACAUUAUUUCUGUAUCUUAUAUGAUUGUGUUCUUAAUAAAAUGUGGAUAGGCCUAGGCCGUGUUGUCUUCCACACUUGGAAUACAACUGUUUCUGUUCUGG
Molecule: long non-coding RNA, 3478 nt
Filed under: Salmo salar (Atlantic salmon)
Lineage: Eukaryota; Metazoa; Chordata; Actinopteri; Salmoniformes; Salmonidae
Description: lncRNA (ENSSSAG00000122004.1)
Source: RNAcentral